GCCGAUGUAGCUUAGUAGGUUAUAGCACGUGAUUUGUAAUCUCGGGGCCGUGGGUUCGAAUCCCUCCAUCGGCA
Molecule: transfer RNA, 74 nt
Filed under: Candidatus Karelsulcia muelleri
Lineage: Bacteria; Pseudomonadati; Bacteroidota; Flavobacteriia; Flavobacteriales
Also listed under: 1 other name
Description: tRNA-Thr
Rfam family: tRNA
About the family: Transfer RNA (tRNA) molecules are approximately 80 nucleotides in length. Their secondary structure includes four short double-helical elements and three loops (D, anti-codon, and T loops).
Source: RNAcentral